GAUUGAACGCUGGCGGCAGGCCUAACACAUGCAAGUCGAACGGUAACAGGAAGAAGCUUGCUUCUUUGCUGACGAGUGGCGGACGGGUGAGUAAUGUCUGGGAAACUGCCUGAUGGAGGGGGAUAACUACUGGAAACGGUAGCUAAUACCGCAUAACGUCGCAAGACCAAAGAGGGGGACCUUAGGGCCUCUUGCCAUCGGAUGUGCCCAGAUGGGAUUAGCUAGUAGGUGGGGUAAAGGCUCACCUAGGCGACGAUCCCUAGCUGGUCUGAGAGGAUGACCAGCCACACUGGAACUGAGACACGGUCCAGACUCCUACGGGAGGCAGCAGUGGGGAAUAUUGCACAAUGGGCGCAAGCCUGAUGCAGCCAUGCCGCGUGUAUGAAGAAGGCCUUCGGGUUGUAAAGUACUUUCAGCGGGGAGGAAGGUGUUGUGGUUAAUAACCACAGCAAUUGACGUUACCCGCAGAAGAAGCACCGGCUAACUCCGUGCCAGCAGCCGCGGUAAUACGGAGGGUGCAAGCGUUAAUCGGAAUUACUGGGCGUAAAGCGCACGCAGGCGGUCUGUCAAGUCGGAUGUGAAAUCCCCGGGCUCAACCUGGGAACUGCAUUCGAAACUGGCAGGCUUGAGUCUCGUAGAGGGGGGUAGAAUUCCAGGUGUAGCGGUGAAAUGCGUAGAGAUCUGGAGGAAUACCGGUGGCGAAGGCGGCCCCUGGACGAAGACUGACGCUCAGGUGCGAAAGCGUGGGGGAGCAAACAGGAUUAGAUACCCUGGUAGUCCACGCCGUAAACGAUGUCUAUUUGGAGGUUGUGCCCUUGAGGUGUGGCUUCCGGAGCUAACGCGUUAAAUAGACCGCCUGGGGAGUACGGCCGCAAGGUUAAAACUCAAAUGAAUUGACGGGGGCCCGCACAAGCGGUGGAGCAUGUGGUUUAAUUCGAUGCAACGCGAAGAACCUUACCUGGUCUUGACAUCCACAGAACUUUCCAGAGAUGGAGGGGUGCCUUCGGGAACUGUGAGACAGGUGCUGCAUGGCUGUCGUCAGCUCGUGUUGUGAAAUGUUGGGUUAAGUCCCGCAACGAGCGCAACCCUUAUCCUUUGUUGCCAGCGGUUAGGCCGGGAACUCAAAGGAGACUGCCAGUGAUAAACUGGAGGAAGGUGGGGAUGACGUCAAGUCAUCAUGGCCCUUACGACCAGGGCUACACACGUGCUACAAUGGCGCAUACAAAGAGAAGCGAACUCGCGAGAGCAAGCGGACCUCAUAAAGUGCGUCGUAGUCCGGACUGGAGUCUGCAACUCGACUCCAUGAAGUCGGAAUCGCUAGUAAUCGUGGAUCAGAAUGCCACGGUGAAUACGUUCCCGGGCCUUGUACACACCGCC
RNAcentral lists this ribosomal RNA (1377 nucleotides) under uncultured Gammaproteobacteria bacterium. RNAcentral's name for it is "bacterial SSU rRNA". It matches the Rfam family "Bacterial small subunit ribosomal RNA", at positions 27 to 1394 of the family's 1533-position model. The record is from RNAcentral. Lineage: Bacteria; Pseudomonadati; Pseudomonadota; Gammaproteobacteria.